UGUGUCACACAUAGCGGGAAGGACUCU
RNAcentral lists this non-coding RNA (27 nucleotides) under Mus musculus (house mouse). Lineage: Eukaryota; Metazoa; Chordata; Mammalia; Rodentia; Muridae. The record is from RNAcentral.